This 497-nucleotide ribosomal RNA is filed under the name uncultured bacterium. Its description in RNAcentral is "partial 16S ribosomal RNA". It matches the Rfam family "Bacterial small subunit ribosomal RNA", at positions 28 to 507 of the family's 1533-position model. The record is from RNAcentral.
GAUGAACGCUGGCGGCGUGCCUAAUACAUGCAAGUCGAGCGAACAGACGAGGAGCUUGCUCCUCUGACGUUAGCGGCGGACGGGUGAGUAACACGUGGAUAACCUACCUAUAAGACUGGGAUAACUUCGGGAAACCGGAGCUAAUACCGGAUAAUAUAUUGAACCGCAUGGUUCAAUAGUGAAAGACGGUUUUGCUGUCACUUAUAGAUGGAUCCGCGCCGCAUUAGCUAGUUGGUAAGGUAACGGCUUACCAAGGCGACGAUGCGUAGCCGACCUGAGAGGGUGAUCGGCCACACUGGAACUGAGACACGGUCCAGACUCCUACGGGAGGCAGCAGUAGGGAAUCUUCCGCAAUGGGCGAAAGCCUGACGGAGCAACGCCGCGUGAGUGAUGAAGGUCUUCGGAUCGUAAAACUCUGUUAUUAGGGAAGAUCAAAUGUGUAAGUAACUAUGCACGUCUUGACGGUACCUAAUCAGAAAGCCACGGCUAACUACGUG